ACUGCAAGUCGAGCGAACAGAUAAGGAGCUUGCUCCUUUGACGUUAGCGGCGGACGGGUGAGUAACACGUGGGUAACCUACCUAUAAGACUGGGAUAACUUCGGGAAACCGGAGCUAAUACCGGAUAACAUUUGGAACCGCAUGGUUCUAAAGUGAAAGAUGGUUUUGCUAUCACUUAUAGAUGGACCCGCGCCGUAUUAGCUAGUUGGUAAGGUAAUGGCUUACCAAGGCGACGAUACGUAGCCGACCUGAGAGGGUGAUCGGCCACACUGGAACUGAGACACGGUCCAGACUCCUACGGGAGGCAGCAGUAGGGAAUCUUCCGCAAUGGGCGAAAGCCUGACGGAGCAACGCCGCGUGAGUGAUGAAGGGUUUCGGCUCGUAAAACUCUGUUAUUAGGGAAGAACAAACGUGUAAGUAACUAUGCACGUCUUGACGGUACCUAAUCAGAAAGCCACGGCUAACUACGUGCCAGCAGCCGCGGUAAUACGUAGGUGGCAAGCGUUAUCCGGAAUUAUUGGGCGUAAAGCGCGCGUAGGCGGUUUCUUAAGUCUGAUGUGAAAGCCCACGGCUCAACCGUGGAGGGUCAUUGGAAACUGGGAAACUUGAGUGCAGAAGAGGAAAGUGGAAUUCCAUGUGUAGCGGUGAAAUGCGCAGAGAUAUGGAGGAACACCAGUGGCGAAGGCGACUUUCUGGUCUGUAACUGACGCUGAUGUGCGAAAGCGUGGGGAUCAAACAGGAUUAGAUACCCUGGUAGUCCACGCCGUAAACGAUGAGUGCUAAGUGUUAGGGGGUUUCCGCCCCUUAGUGCUGCAGCUAACGCAUUAAGCACUCCGCCUGGGGAGUACGACCGCAAGGUUGAAACUCAAAGGAAUUGACGGGGACCCGCACAAGCGGUGGACAUGGGUUUAAUUCGAAGCAACGCGAAGAACCUUACCAAAUCUUGACUCCUUUGAAACUCUAGAGAUAGAGCCCCCUUCGGGGGAAAGUGACGGGAUGGGUCGUCAGCUCGGUCGGGAAGUUGGGUAAGUCCGAACGCACCCUCUCUACGGGACCGGAGAGAAG
This 1065-nucleotide ribosomal RNA is filed under the name Staphylococcus sp. RNAcentral's name for it is "bacterial SSU rRNA". It matches the Rfam family "Bacterial small subunit ribosomal RNA", at positions 53 to 1181 of the family's 1533-position model. Lineage: Bacteria; Bacillati; Bacillota; Bacilli; Caryophanales; Staphylococcaceae. The record is from RNAcentral.